Esox lucius (northern pike) is the source of this 984-nucleotide long non-coding RNA. Lineage: Eukaryota; Metazoa; Chordata; Actinopteri; Esociformes; Esocidae. The record is from Ensembl.
CCUGGGAAUACCAGGUGUGCUGUAAAACAUUAUGAUUCAGUUAAUUGAAUCAAUUUCGAAUAAAAGGAGUCAAUCAUUCAUUCAGGAGAUGUCCACACACUCUAUAAAUGGCCCGAAUUCAACUGGACAGUAGACUUAUGGCCACAUUUCCCUCAGCACGCCUGAUCUUUGAAUCUAAGCAGGGUCGGGCCUAGUUAGUACCAGGAUGUGAGACCGCCUGGGAAUCUCAGGUGUGCUGUAAGCCAUUAUGAUUCAGUUCAUUGAAUGAAUUCAGGAAAAAAAGGAGUCAAUCAUUAAUUCAGGAGAUGUCCACACACUAUACAUGGCCCGAAUUCAACUGGACAAUAGGAUUACGGCCACACCUCCCUCAGCACGGCUGAUCUAGGAAGCUAAGCAGGGUCGGGACUGGUUAGUGCUUGGAUGGGAGACGGCCUGGGAAUACCAGGUGCUGUAAGCCUUUUUGAUUGGGGUCAAUUAAUUUGUGAAAAAAAUCCUGUCAAUCAUUCUUUUAGGACAUGUCCACACACUCUAUAAAAGGCCCAAAUUCAAACUGUCAAUAGGCUUACGGCCACACCUCCCUGAGCACGCCCGAUCUCGUCUGAUCUCGGAAGCUAAGCAGGGUCGGGCCCGGUUAGUACUUGGAUGGGAGACCGCCUGGGAAUACCAGGUGCUGUAAGCCUUUUUGAUUGGGGUCAAUAAUUUGUGAAAAAAAUCCUGUCAAUCAUUCUUUUAGGACAUGUCCACACACUCUAUAAAAGGCCCAAAUUCAAACUGUCAAUAGGCUUACGGCCACACCUCCCUGAGCACGCCCGAUCUCGUCUGAUCUCGGAAGCUAAGCAGGGUCGGGCCCGGUUAGUACUUGGAUGGGAGACCGCCUGGGAAUACCAGGUGCUGUAAGCCUUUUUGAUUGGGGUCAAUUAAUUUGUGAAAAAAAUCCUGUCAAUCAUUCUUUUAGGACAUGUCCACACACUCUAUAAAAGGCCC